Long non-coding RNA from Marmota monax (woodchuck), 11190 nucleotides. RefSeq lists it as uncharacterized. NCBI's taxonomy places the organism in Eukaryota, Metazoa, Chordata, Mammalia, Rodentia, Sciuridae. The transcript has 3 exons. The record is from RefSeq and is a predicted model, not a curated record.
UUUCCUCACAGGCCCAAGGCAUUCUGGGAAGUUGUGCGGGGGACAGGAAAUGUCCUGGGAACUGAGGGAGCCAGUUGUGAGGGGGAGAAGGCCUGUGGCUGGUACGACAGGUAGCAUGGCCAGGUCUGAUUCCCCAGUGAGUCCUCUGCAGAGGCCGGGCCUGUUUAUUCUGAGCACCAGAGGGUGAGUCACCGGGCUUGGUGGGAACAGCCAGUCUGGAGCAGAGCCCGCCGCCCACAACAUCAGCCUUACCAACUUCAGAGCAUUCACGCUUCUGGGGGACAGUGAUAAGCCAGGUCAAAUUCGAGCAAGCGGGUGCUUCUGCCUCAGCAACAACCCACACUCAUCUCUAUGCAGCUGUGGAGAGGGCAAGCACUCUGGUCAGACUGACCCAAGUUCGCUGCUGUGUGCUGUGGAUCUUUCCCCUUGGAUCACCGUAGAGACCCAGUGUGACAAGAGCUGUGACUAUCCCCAUUUUACAGACUGGGAAGCUAAGGCUCGGGGCGACGGCAUGACCUGAGACCCUGAAGCGGGUGAGUGGCGGAGCUGGUGUGUGAACCUGGGAUCGUCUGCCUCCUCCCCCCUUGGCACUGACGUGCGGGACACGCUGUCCUAAACUUUCUAGAGCAGAGAAGCCUGCCAAGGAGCUCACAGGGAAGACAGAUAAGCACCCAUCACAACUAUGCGGAGCAAAAUACUUCUGUUUGAGUCAUAUGUCUGCCUUCCACUUCUGCCGGGAGGCACAUCUGUCGCUGGCUGAACCCAGCACAGUCUGAAAAAGUCACUUCAAGGGAGACGAAUCUUCAGAUAGUGAUUCACAAAUGAAAAUAACUUUGUUUCUCAAAAAGGCCUCUGGUUGCUCCUCACAUGCUCCCCUGCUGUCUAGCUCCAUGAUCAAGAGCUCUGAUUAUUUACUCCUCAGACUUGACUCGACUGCACAUUACAACAGAUGUGGCUGUCAGGUCGACUCACUGGGUUAAAAGAAAACUGAUGGACCCCCCAUGGAUGGCCUGACUGGCUCUGGUUUCUGGCACCUCCCUUCCUCUCGGCCUCAGUUUCCCCAGAGGGACAAGGGGAGUGGGACUCUAUGGUACAGGUCCCUCCCUGUGCUAAGAAGUGGCAGUGGGAGGCCACCUUGUGGGAUGGUGCCGGGCACUUCUAUGCAGGUAGGAGCCCCCAGAACCUGUUCUCCUGAUGGUCCUCCACUGGAGCUGUUUCAAUAUAGGGGGUCCCACCAGAGAUGUGGGAGGAGCUGGUGCAAGGGAGAUGAAAGUCUGGGACCUUCCCUGUGGUUGUGGGAGGGUAUGGGCACCAAUUAUUGUAUGCUGCAUCUAUGAUGGCUUCAUGGAGAUGUCACCAGGGCUCUGGAGUUGGACCUGGCAGGCUGAGUCCCUGGCUCCUCCCCUUACCAACUGUGGGCCCCUGGGGCGAGUCAUGGCUUCUCCGUGGACCUUAGCUUUGGAUCUUAGUUCCUCUCUCUGUACAAGGAGAAGACCAAGCUGCAGGAGGGUGGUCAUGAGGGUUAAAGGAGACGAUGCACACAGAAGGUGCUCAGUGGUGCUGGCGAUUAUGCUCCUGAUGGAACACCACUCUGCAAGCCAAGACCCCUUCAGUGGGGAUGCCAGGUUCACUCUGCAACAAGGGAGUCGAGGCCCCCAGGACAGGUUCAAUCCCUAUCCUCGAACUGGCGCAUCAGAAGUGAAGAUGCCAACCUGUGCCUGACCCAGGUCUGCCUCUGCACCCCCAAUGCUUGGCCCCAGCUGUGGGUCCCUCCCAGUGUGGCCGCCUUCUGUGCAGGCUCCCUGUUCACCUUGCAAGGUGUGCCACAAAGCACAGGGCCAGUCAGACCACCCCCAACAGGGUGACAUCACCACAGGCUCCUCAUCCCCUUCCCUGUGCUGGGAAGGGGCUUUGUGUGGGCUCAGAACUGCAUCUGGAGGAGGGGGACGGGGCAGGAGGCCAUUUCUAGACCUUCCCAUCAGUCUCAUAAUUCGUUCCUGUAAGACUCUGGCUGGAGUUGGGGUGCUCACAGCAGGCCACGAGCGGAGGCCAGGUGGCUGGGGAAGGCAGCUGUCUCGGCGGGUGGAAGGGGCUGACCCGCUGGAUGGAAGCCACAUUACUUCUCUGUGGAGGGUGGGGCUGAGCUCUUGGGGAACCUGACCGUCUGUUCUGGGGGCUGGGACCCCACGUGGCAGGUUGAUCAGGGGCUGGCCAAGGACACCAUCAGCGUUCUGAGGGAGAGAGCAGGUGAGGAGCACCAGGGCUCUCUAGGGAGAUUGUGGUGGGUGUCACCUACCAUCUCCCAAAUCCUUAGUGAAAUGUGGGCCACAGAACUCUGAGAGAAGGGAAGAAUUUCAUUCCCAAGAAGAGGGGACCACCCAAGCUCCAGGAGCGCUGUGCUCACCCCUGGGGGGCGAUGACCCCCCAUGGCCGCAGUCCCUAGCUGGCUUCCACAAGUGCUAGUGUGGAGACCUGGCCAGCAGGGCUGCCUCUGUGAGGAACGUCAAGCAUCCCUUCGAGCAGGGCAGCGUUCUGAGAAGCUGAAAGAACCUCUGCCUUCCAGACAGGACAGAGAUUCUGAUGCCCCUGCCUCCCUCUCACAGCACGCUGGGCCUGAUGGACUGGGGUGCACGUAGCCCUGCAGCUGCUCGCAGGCCAGUGGCCCACAACAGCUUCUGCUGCGUAUCCCCCAGUGACAGGAGGCUCAGUGUACCCAUGCAGGUCAUUUGCAGGGGUCCUAAACUCCCGUCUCCCCCUUGGUGGGCCCAAAGGGUCCCACAUGCUCUGCAUCCUCAGGGAAUUUGAAAACAAUACUGGGUCCAGGUUUCCUUAUUCAGGUAGACAGGCAGAAUCGGAACAUGGGAUGUGAAAAGAGAAGGACACGAUUUUGCCCAGCAAUCUUCACCCUACACAGCUGCUCCUUAGCAAUGGACCCUGCACCCCAGGCUGCCAGGACCCAUCAGAGAGAGCUCCUGACAGCAGAGAGAAACUGGGAUAAGGACAGGACCCAGCCAAGUGCUGCCUUCCUCCCCCGCCACACCAGUGGCUGAAGCAUGAGUGUGUUCCUGCUGGGACACUCACACUCACACACACAUGCACACCUGCCGCACUGACUCAGGUGGGGACUCUGCCCUUCAUUCCUGAGCAGCCACACUCCAGGUCAACAAAUGGGGCUGUGAUGACGUUUCAGCAAUCCAACCAAACUGCUUCAGUGCACCACAGGUACCUGGAAAGGGGCCUGUCCACCUCUCACCCACUCUGACUUGGGGAUAGGGAAACAGUGACAAAAGGCCAGUGUUCAUAGCAUCCUCCAGCCCUGGAGGGACCCAGCCUCCUCCUUCUACACCUCAGGAGUCAGAGCUGAGCCAAGGUUGCUUGGGACAAGCACAACUGGCAACUGCUCCGGAGAGGAACACAAGGUGAAAGACUCGAUGAGACACACGGGGUGUGAUGCUGCACCUGUCUUCUAUUAGCAGCCUGAUAGACACCUGAAGCAGUGACUCAGUGACGUAAAACCAAGGCUAGAAUGGAUGCUUGUGGACUUAGAGACGGAUUCUGGGAGUUCUAUCUGAAGCCUCUCGUCCUUUGUGAACGAUCAAAUGUACAGAAGUUCCAAAGCCACCUCGGGACAUGAGUGGGCAGGUUCUGGCCCCCUGAGACCUGAUGUCUUAUAUGGAAAGUACUUCUCCCUGAAUGAAUAUACAAAUCACCUGGAAUACUGCAAAACAGACUGUGACUCCAUAGGGCCGGGUGGUACCCAAGACGCCAUAUUUCUACUCUGCUCCCAGGUGAUGCCAACGUUCCGGGGAUCACGCUCUUGACCAGCAACAUGCCAGAUUCGACUGGAGUCUCAACGGUAGCAGUCAAGUGACCUGCAGAUGGCCCAUCCGGGACAAACCCAGACCCCAUGCCUGCUAUCUCAUGCUAGGGGUCCACGGUGUCUAGGAGAGUAGCUACCUGAGCCCUUUCAGCCCCUAAUCAAAUUGGUAUUUGCAAAGAGCAAACUCCUGGAUGAUACAAACUCCUCCCACCCCUGAGAAGCACAGCCCCUUCUCAGCCACAGAACUUAGGGGACAGUUCUUAGAUUCUAGUGAGUCAAGAGGAGACGGGGCAGAGGAGAGAUGUGGGGUAAUGAAGAAUCAUAAGCCACGGGACUACUUUUGACUUUGGCUCUCAGUUAGGUGCUGGGGAUACAGAAAGAACAUGAGACAGGCUGUCCUCUUGCAGCCACAGCUAGCAGGUGAGAUCAACACCCACAGAAAUAACCCUGUGACAAUGUGGGAAACGCUCCAUCAGUGACAGGGCUGGAAGACUCCAUGGGCCCCAGAGAGGCUGGAAGGACAACAUGGGACACAUGGCAGGCACCAGGAGAGCUCGCAGAGACAGUGCUAUGGGACUGGGCCUCAGAGGAGGCACGGGGUCUUCCAGACAGGAUAAGACUAGGAAGGGUAUUUCAGGUGUAAAAGUGGGUUGUGCACGGGCAUGCUAUGUCCUGGGAAAGGAGAGUAGCUCAUGCUGCAACAGGCAGAACAUCAACUGAGGGGCCAGAGCAGGCACUGUGCUCAUUACCAGGGGACAGAAAAGGAAGUAGGGUCUAGCUGUGUACAGAUAAGGAGAUUUAAGGCAAAGUCAAUUUAAAACAAAACUCCCCCUUCAUGACCUUCAGUGUGGUAAGAAUUAAAUGAGUUACUCGGUGUCUCUCUUUUUACAUGCAUAAUUCUUAGAUGCAAACAAAUGUCUUGGCAUCUGGCUUUCAUUUCUUAAUAUUAGACAAAGGCAUUUUCCUAGGUGGUUAACAUCACUUAUUAGUGGUCACACAAUAUUCCAUCACAUAGGUGCAUAAAAAUCCACUUAGCCAAUCCCUGGUGCUUGACAUGGCAGUUGUUCCCAAUUUUUCACGAUUAUAAACAAUAUCCUUUCUGAAUUCAACUUUGGCAUAGAUUCUCAGGAAUCAGAAUCAAAGGGUGUGAGUCAAUCAAAAGUUUAUGACUUGUGACAUGUGGCCAGAUACUCAGACUCUGGGAAACCAGCCUUGGAGGAGGCACCUGAGUGGCUCAAAGGGUUUUUGGCCAGAGUAGAGGGGACUGGCUCAGCUCUGAGGCUGGGAUGUGGUUGCCCAUGUUCUGAGCAGGCUCAUGCUGGGAUGGAGAUGCAGCAGCCCUGUAAGCCAUGCAGGUCUGUGUCAGCCAGGAGUGACUGAAUGGGAGAACUGGGCUCCAUCAGCCCUGGGAGAAGCUAUUCUGCAAAUACUGAGCUCUACCACCAGUCCCAAGACAGGAUCAGACCGCAGGAGCAUCAGGACUGUCUCUUAAGAUGGAGAGACUGGAAUCUAGAUCCUGGGCACCAGACCCUGACCUUCUCCAUGGGACCUACAUCAUCUUUGAAGGACACUUGGUACUAGGAAAAAAGACAGCCCAACUGGAUUGUCAGACAAUGUUCCCACAUUUUUCUGUGGCAGGCUGGGACCCUGCGCAUCCCUUCACCUUUGGGGCCCAGCAGCUACCUCCUGAGCAGACCCCAGGUGCUUACCUGCCAGGGCUGGGAUGGUGACCCGGUUCCAUUCCCACGGCUGGUCGUACUCGUCGGCAGGCCUGUCAUCAUCCUGGGGCAGCUUGCUCUCGCGCAGUCGGGGGCUGACCGUGCUCUCUGAGUCCGAGUCCACACUUUGGCCUUCGGGUUCAUAAGGGGUGUCAUAUAACUGGAUGCCUUUGUGCUGAGACCGGACACUUUCCUGCCUCUGGAAUUCUGCAGACAAAAAGGAAGGAAGCAGAGGUGUAAUGGCUGCACGCGGGGAAUUUGGGAUCCCUGCCAGGGACUACCCCUGGGUCCAGAGUGGCUGGCCAGGGAGGUGAGGACAGCACAGGAACAGCUCCUUUCUGUUUCCUGCAGCCUAGGCGCAGGGCAGGCAGCAUCUCUGCUCUCCCUGGGGGUGGGUGGGGGAGUUGCUCACAAAGAUCACAGGUUCUUGGGUGGACCUCAGGACAGCCCUGGACACCAGGUGCAGGUGUAUUCUGACACUGCCCAGCCCUCUUGCUCGACAGCCAUGUGGGGACACUCCCCACCGGAGCAGUUCACCCCCCUCACUAGACCUUCAAGUCACACUGAACAAUGAGAAGAUUUGGGUUAAAUGAUCCUCAAGUUCCCGCGUAGCUCACAGAUUCAGGUAAAAGAACCAACAAGCAAACUAUUUCCCUGAGAUGACCCAGGGCCACCAUCUUCUGCCUACGACACCCUUCCUUACAGUUCUGGUCUCCCCCCCAGAGCCUGCACACCUCCACCCAGGCUGAACACCCCUGGGAAUUUCAGAGAUGCUUGGUUUCACUUCCGAAUGAGGAACAGGAGCUUGUGAUCUUCAGGAGAAGGUGUGAAAGCCUGGUCCAGGGUGGGCUGAGGGCUGACUGUCCAUCUAGUUGAGAGCCCAGAUGGGGGCCAUGCAUAUCAGCUGGGUAUUUAUUUAUACCAGGAGAGGCAGGAGCAGCUGGAAGGACGGAUGCUAGGAUAUGCACUCCAGGGGCCCCCAGGUCAAACAGGGAACCUGAGUUUCUUGAUCUUGAAUACCCACUGUGUGCAGGGUCCAUGCUGGGGACCUGGGGAGGGUUCACUGCCAAGGCUGUGCCUGAGAAACCCAAAUUUCCAGGGGACAGCAUGUGCCUAAAUCACCGUGAUACUCGGGGGCAAAGGGAUCGCAGUGUGGGACCUGAGAGGGGGAUGGCAGGACAAAGGAGAGAUGGCAGAUGACAGCUCUGACAGGUGGAAACAGGAGAGGGAGGGCCUUCCCUGUGGCAGGAACAGGUGGCCAAGGCAAUGGGAUGGAGAGCAUGCUCACUGCCUACCUUGGCUUCUUAUCCAAUGAGAUGGAUAUGGCAAGUGACCAUUUUAGUCGUUAAGUAUGCAGCUCAGCAUCAUUAAGUAGGUCCACACUGUUGGACAGCCAUUCCAUCAUCUGUCUCUAGAACUUUCUCAUCUUCCCAAGCUGAAACUCUGUGCCCGGUAAACCAUGACUGCCCCACCUCUGCUCUCCCCAUUCCCUGUCAACCCCCAGGUCUCCAUGGCUCUGACUACUCCAGGAACAGCCAUCAAGUGAAAUCAUUCAGCAUUUGUCCUGUGACAGGCUGAGCAAUGUUUCAUCAGACGACUCUUCACUGUCUGCUCUGAUGUCCCAGGCAUGCACAGAAACACCCCAGGCAGCAGAGGGUGAGCUCUGUGGAAGCAGAGGUGUGGAACAAGAAGAGUGGGCCCCAGGCAGCGGCCCAGGGCCUGUUGCUACUGGCCAACCUGCCCUGCUUGCUCUUAUGUGCUCAGCCUGAGGGCGAGGGAAAGGCCCGGGUCUGGAGUAGGAAGCUUGGUUUACUCCCAUCCCUUGGCCAUCUGUACAGGGACAGAGUCUUCUCACGAGCCCCUCUGGCCUUGAGUACCAGAGGGUAGACAAAGACCUCGCAUCUGAUGACAAAUGUGCUUUCAUCAGGAUUUGAAAGGCCACUUGGGCCUCGGCCCAGAGCUCACGGGCUCUCGGUGACAUUACCUCUGUGUCCUAUCCCAGCCCAUCACUCUGCAUCUUCCAGCGACUGCCUUCACGUGCAGAGGAUUCUGGGCAGCUGCAGGCCCAGCAGCUGGUGCCGUCCCCGGCGAAGACUCACUGAGGCGGGGUCACUGUUCCAGGAACCCAGGGAAGUGAGUGACUGGGUCUCCCUUUAAGGAGUCGAUUUCUUAGGAGAUGCCAUUUUGAUUCCAGGUUGACUGCAAGACCUAACUUCACGGGCAAGUGGGGAGUCUGCCUGCUUUUCUUCCUCACUCACAGAGCCCCAACUGUGUGCUACACUGGGCUCCUAGCCAGAUGCUGAGUGCCAGCCCAGUGUCUGGUGAAGCUGGGGGUCCUCAGUGAACGCUGGUGUGGCAGGAGAACCAGGAUGCCACCAUCCAUAAACAAUGAGUUAAUAAUGGUUACCAGUCACUAAGCACCUGCUUGUGUCCCAGGCACCAUCCUGGGUAUUGGGAGUAAAGUACUGCUCAUUCUCAAGACACACAGAGGCAGGAGUAGAUUAAGCAUCCCUGAAAAAUCAAAUUGUAAAACUCUUUGAGCAUCUAUAGGGUGCCACAAAUGGGAAAUUCUACACUUGACAUCAUGUAACUGGUCGUGGUCAAAAUGCAGGCAUACUAAAAACACUGCACAAUUAUCUUCAGGCAAAGGGUAUGGGGUGUACAUGAAGCAUAAGUCAUUUUCAUAUUUAGACUUGAGUCCCAGCCCCAAGAAACACUAACACCGUGCAGGUACUCAUUAUAUUAAGUGCAAAUACCCAAGUCCAAAAAAAUCCCCAAAUCCAAAAAUGCUUCUGUUGCAAGCAUUUUUGAAUUCUUGACUGUAUUAUUUCCCAUGCAGAAACUGAGGCUCAGACAAAUGAGGCUCAGCUGGAAAUAAUCCAGUUCUGACUGUUGUAAACACCUUAAAAGUGGUACGUGCAUUGGCAGCCGGGUGGAGGUAAAAAAAUAACCCAGUUCCUAGAGUUUGGAAAAAUUUCAGGAAGGUGGUAGCAUUUCAGAGUCUUAGGUCCUUGUGUAAGAAGAGCCCUCGAGGAUCAGGGAAACAGAGGGACUGCCUACUAUCACAAACAGAGAAGGACAAGCCCAGAAGGACAUAAUCAAGAAGAGUAGGAAGGCUUGGGUAGUUGAAAAUGAGGUCACCAGGACAAAGGGCAAACGAGGAAGGGCAAGCACGAGCAAAGCGGUGGAGAGAGGAAAGCCAGAGGAUUAUCAGAUAGAACCCAACAGCCUGUGCUGCCUUCAGCCUGGUGCUCAUCAUUGGGAACGGGAUGUGGUGACCAGAAUGGAUGGAGCUGGGCUAAGGAGAGUGUGGAAGUCACAGGAGGGAUGCUACUUUAAAAGGCAGGAAAUUGGAAAAGGGGGGCCAGGAGCCUUAAUCAGGUCUUUAAUGCAAACCCUUAUAGUGGAUUACAAUUCCCCAAGUGGGCAGGACACGCAGGGGUGCGUGUGGUACUCAGUUGUAUAUAAUCCCAAGGUAGGACCCUCUGAAAAAUUAGGGCUCCACCUUUUCAAGGGAUGGAGAGAGGACAUGCUCCUGUGAGCAACCCCCAGAUGUGGAGAUGCAGACAUUCCCCCUGGGAUGAGGGCCAGGGUCAGGCACCUAAUCCUCAGAGGGUGGGUGACCCUGGACUCUUCAUGCUGCAAAAAAGAGGCCAAGGAGGGGCUUCCAGACCUGUAUCCAGCCUGAGUCUUCUGAGUGUUGACAAGUGGACCUGUGCAGAGGGCCAGCACCCCACAGAUACAAUCUUCCGGUCUGCUGGGCAAAGUGAGGUCUCAGCUUCCAGAGGGGCCUGGGGGCCGCUUUAAUGUGAUGAAGCCACAGGGUGACGGGCUUUCAUGCCUGACCAGUCAUAGCUAGGGGCUUUACUCCUUAUGGAGCAGCUUCACCUACAUGUUCUCAGGGAACCUUGGAGCAAACCUUGGAGGAUCCACAAUGUGAAGGCCCCUUGCCAUCUGCCUGAUAAAAGCCUGCAGCUUACACAAGAGGGGUGGGAAGAGUUGGGCCUCAAUUACACAGCGGUGCCCACGUGCUAAGUGCAUUCUUAUUUAAUUCUCCCGACAGUUCUAUGAGGUACCACGUGGACUGCAAAAUGAGCUGUGGACAAAGGCUGCCCAGCUCUGGAGACCAUGCUCUUGGCCAUGUGGCCCUCUACACCAUCUUCCUAGCCCAAGUCAGUGCUCCCUCCACUCCACUAGGAACAAAAAGACACAAACUUGGUGCUCAGGUCAGUAAGGGAAGCAAACCCUGGAGGGCCCUGGUCCAUCAAGCUGAGUGAUGCCAGGCAAGCUAUUUCCUGCCUCUGGCUGACAGUCUGCUUAUCAAACUGGUAACUGGGGCCAUCUUGGGGGUCCCUCCAGGCAUCAUUACAAUCAGUCUGAAGGCAAGCAGAGAGCUGUCGAUCAGGAGGUAUUCAGCACAUUCUAGAUGCUGCACAGGGGCGGCCAAGACAUGCUGCUGGUCCCAGUCUGGCUGGCACUAAGCCAGUGGUUAAACUGGUAGCAGGUGCAGGGGACCACUUCCCAGGGCAAAGCCAAGCAUAAUUCUUCACCUCACUUGUACCUGAUGGCCCUGGUCACUUAUAUUAAAGCACCCUCACCACCUGUCAUGUUUCCCAGCUAUACAGGUCAACCCCACCUAUAUGCCUAGGGCUGGUCAUGGGGUCACUGUCUCAUACCGAGGGGGGUGAUGUUGGCAUCAAGCCCCCAUGCUCAGAGCAGCUGCCCCAGCGGAAGCAACCUGCUGAGAUCUGGCAAGUUCUCUGCCCAGCUUCCCUACCCUGGAACUUCUUCAAGGGAGCAACUAAUCCCCCUAGGGACCCAGAGACAACUCAGCCUUCUGGACAGCAGCACUGAGGCUGCUGGCCCAGGACCAGCCUGGCUCUCCGCUCACCGGCUGUGUGACCUUGGCCAACUGCCUGCUCCACUGGGGCUCAGAUCUCUCCCAGGUGAGGUAGAGGAGUUGAACCAGAUGAUCUCAGGGGCCUUUCUCACUCAGUCUGGUUCCAUGAAGAGCAGGUAUUCACAGAGGGCUUCCUGGUCCAAGUGCUGUGGCUCCAUCUUUGGAAGGAGGCAGGAGGCAUACAAGAGAGCACCUACCCUACCAGCACGGGGGUCGCUGGCCUCAGCAUCCCAACCACCCUCAGCAAACCACUUCAAGACACGGUCAUAAUAUGCAAUGGGAACACUGCCCAGUGAGAAGCUCCACCCCACUCCCAGCUGUGCUUUCCCAUCUGGGGUAGUUCAUCUGUGUCAACUUGGCUGGCCUAUGGGAUGCCUAGAUAUUAGGAUGACCGUUAGUCUAUAAGAGUAUUUUUGGAUAGGAUCAAUAUUGAAAUUGGUGGAGUGAGCAGAUUGCUGUGCCCCCACUGUGUGGGUAGGCCUUAUCUAAUCCAUUGAAGGCCCUGCAUAGAACAAAAAAUGCCAGCCCUUCCCUGAGUAAAAGAGAAUUCUGCUUGUCUGCCUUUAAAUGGGGACAUUGGCUUUCUUCCUGCCUUUGGACUUGAACUACACCACUGAUUCUGAUUCCAUGCAUCCAAAUUUGGACUUGAAGUACACCACUGACUUUGCAGCUUGCCAACUCACCUGCAGAUCUUGGGACUUGCCAGCCUCUGUCAUCACGAGAGUCAAUUCCUUAAAAUAAAUCUCGGUCUC